UUUUGAGUACGAACGUCCUGGCCGGAUUGUCGUUCACCUAGAAUGUCAAGAGUUUGUGCCGCGAUUGCCAUUUCUGCUUCGCGCGUCGGAAACGUCAAACCCUAGGUCGGAUCUGCGAGUACUGGUGGAGAAGGGGCGUUUGUUUUCUGGAAGUUCAGAGGAAAUGAUGAACUGCAACCCCCAGAUUAUGAAAAAUAGGACGUGUCUCGAAUUUUCAGAUGGAAGAAGACGCCUCAGCUUAGCAGGAAGGGUGGGGAAUGCCAGAUGAUGUCGUUUUGUU
RNAcentral lists this unclassified non-coding RNA (280 nucleotides) under Hevea brasiliensis (rubber tree). The record is from RNAcentral. Lineage: Eukaryota; Viridiplantae; Streptophyta; Magnoliopsida; Malpighiales; Euphorbiaceae.